This 354-nucleotide unclassified non-coding RNA is filed under the name soil metagenome. RNAcentral's name for it is "partial contains 5.8S ribosomal RNA, internal transcribed spacer 2, and large subunit ribosomal RNA". The stretch from base 1 to 120 matches the Rfam family "5.8S ribosomal RNA", at positions 35 to 154 of the family's 154-position model. The record is from RNAcentral.
GAUGAAGAACGUAGCGAAAUGCGAUAAGUAAUGCGAAUUGCAGAAUUCAGUGAAUCAUCGAAUCUUUGAACGCACAUUGCGCCCGCUAGUAUUCUGGCGGGCAUGCCUGUCUGAGCGUCAUUUCAACCCUCGCCCCCGGCUUUUGCUGGGAGCGGUGUUGGGGAUCGGCCGCCCGUCACUGGGAGGCCGGCCCCGAAAUAGAGUGGCGACCACGCCGUGUGCUCCUCUGCGUAGUAGUAAAUCACCUCGCAGGCGGACAGCGGUGCGGCCUGCCGUAAAACCCCCAACUCUUUCUGGUUGACCUCAGAUCAGGUAGGAAUACCCGCUGAACUUAAGCAUAUCAAUAACGGAGGA